Panicum virgatum (switchgrass) is the source of this 1452-nucleotide RNA transcript. It is a transcript of the gene named target of rapamycin complex subunit LST8-like, with no coding region annotated. The transcript has 13 exons. NCBI's taxonomy places the organism in Eukaryota, Viridiplantae, Streptophyta, Magnoliopsida, Poales, Poaceae. The record is from RefSeq and is a predicted model, not a curated record.
GUGCGAUUUCUUUAGUUCUUUAUGCCAGCCCAGUCCCAACAACUCCGCCACGGGAACGUGGGCCCACAGCCACCGCCGCCGCCGACGCCCGGCGCUUGCUCCUCCCGAUCCAGACGGCCGGCGGCACGUCAGCGUCAGUCAACCCGAGGCCCUCCACGGGGCCACCCGGCGGUGCGCCUGGGCUGCGCCAGCGCCGCAGGACAGCGGGGGCUCGCAACCGCCGCUGGUCAUCCAGCAUCCUCGCCGCCUCGCCUCCGCUAGCCCCUUUCGAGCCAACGGGUUUAUGAAUUUAGCAGGGUUUAGUGGUACAGGCUAAAGGUGCAAAAUGGCGCAACCUUCUGUCAUUCUUGCAACUGCAAGCUAUGAUCACACAAUCAGGUUUUGGGAAGCCAAGAGUGGCCGCUGUUAUCGCACGAUUCAGUACCCAGACUCUCAAGUUAAUCGCCUUGAGAUAACCCCAGACAAGCGUUUCUUAGCUGCUGCUGGCAACCCUCAUAUCCGUCUUUUUGACGUUAACUCAAAUAGCCCUCAACCGGUAAUUAGCUAUGAUUCACAUACUAGUAAUGUUAUGGCUGUGGGGUUCCAUUGUGAUGGUAACUGGAUGUACUCAGGUUCAGAGGAUGGUACUGUGCGAAUCUGGGAUUUACGGACCGCGACUUGUCAGCGAGAAUAUGAAAGUCGAGCAGCUGUCAACACAGUAGUCCUACACCCAAAUCAGAAAGAACUAAUAUCUGGUGAUCAAAAUGGAAACAUACGUGUGUGGGAUUUGGCUGCUAACUCAUGCAGCUGUGAGUUGGUACCAGAGGUGGAUACUGCUGUAAGAUCUCUGACAGUCAUGUGGGAUGGGAGUAUGGUGGUUGCUGCAAAUAACCGUGGGACAUGUUAUGUUUGGCGCCUACUUAAGGGUACACAGACAAUUACCUGCUUUGAACCCCUUCACAAAUUGCAAGCUCAUGAUGGCUACAUUCUAAAGUGCCUUCUUUCGCCAGAAUUCUGCGAUCCUAACAGGUAUCUUGCGACAGCAUCAUCUGACAACACUGUAAAAAUUUGGAAUGUUGAUGGCUUCAAGUUAGAAAGAACUUUAGUAGGUCAUCAACGCUGGGUUUGGGAUUGCGUGUUCUCAGUUGAUGGUGCUUAUUUGAUUACCGCUUCAUCUGAUACAACUGCGAGAUUGUGGACGAUGUCAACCGGAGAGGCCAUCAGGGUGUACCAGGGACACCAUAAGGCAACCGUCUGCUGUGCUCUACAUGACGGGGCUGAAUCAGCUCCCUCUUAAAGUCAUAAGCACCGUAUAACCUUGGAUUCUGUACAUAACUCUGACUGCCUAGUUUCCAGCAUUGCUGUAACUUGAGAACAUGCGGCUACCGUAGUGAAACAGUGCACAGCCAUAUUUGGGGUUUCGUGUGAAGUAAUUUGGAUGCUAGUAGUAUUUGUCAAACUGUUUUAGGAAUA